GCUCCCAAGGCCCCGGUUCAGCAGUUUGUCUCUGAUCAGCAAAACAUUUAAGCACAUGUGUACCUGCAGGCUGAUGAUUGUAUCACUUAGGCUUGCCAGAGCAAUGGUUUUCUAUCUCUGGUUUAUGCACCCCUAGAGACCCAUGAACUACUUCUAAGGGGGCCUGAAAGGUACUUAAGAAGAGCAAGCUUCUCACCAAGAGGCUUGUUUGCUACAGAGAAGGUCCAGACUCCUGCUCAGGGAGUGAAGAGACUGAGGACCAGUGUUGGAAAGCAGGACAGGUCUGACAGGGUCAGGCCAUGGGCUUUAACAAAGGGCUGAGAUCCCACCACCUCUAGAGUUCAGCUUGUCAUUGAAGCAGAUGGGGAAGGAGCUACUGAACCUACAAAGGCCAGAUUGUGACCACCAGAGGAAACUUUCUCCUGGUUUUAACACUGACAUCUGAAGGGUUCCUGGAGACUGCUUAAGUUUUCUUUGGGAAAAGUUUUCUUUUGGAAAAAGUACAGGACAAGAUAUCAACACUCUGAUCUGUCAUAAACGGAAAGCUGCAGGAAUGAAGCAUCCCAGAGUUGCAGGCUUUUUUUCCUAAAAGUGAAGGAUCAUGCUACAAUGUCUAAAAAGAGAAGAGCAAGUCAGUCUGACCUUUACCUAUAAUAGAAUCAAGAUGAACACUGACCUCCCAUCUCAUGUCAGCUCUCUCAGCAUGAAUACAGAGGGUGCAGCAGGAGGAGCAGGGGGAGAAGGUGUGUCCCUCACUGUGACAGAUGCUGUGGCUCCAGGGAACAUUCAGGUGGCUGUGCUGACAUUACAAAUGAACGCACACACCUUUGUGGUUUCAUUAAUGACUGAACUGACAGAUGAAGAGGCAUGAAAAUUAAUGCAUCCUGCAAAAAAAAAAA
Non-coding RNA from Cyanistes caeruleus (blue tit), 899 nucleotides. The record is from RefSeq and is a predicted model, not a curated record. NCBI's taxonomy places the organism in Eukaryota, Metazoa, Chordata, Aves, Passeriformes, Paridae.